GGGCCCGUAGCUCAGUGGAUUAGAGCAGUAGGCUUCUAACCUAAAGGUCGGGGGUUCAAAUCCCCUCGGGCUCG
This 74-nucleotide transfer RNA is filed under the name Candidatus Aenigmarchaeota archaeon ex4484_52. Its description in RNAcentral is "tRNA-Arg". It matches the Rfam family "tRNA". Rfam says of the family: Transfer RNA (tRNA) molecules are approximately 80 nucleotides in length. Their secondary structure includes four short double-helical elements and three loops (D, anti-codon, and T loops). Further hydrogen bonds mediate the characteristic L-shaped molecular structure. tRNAs have two regions of fundamental functional importance: the anti-codon, which is responsible for specific mRNA codon recognition, and the 3' end, to which the tRNAs corresponding amino acid is attached (by aminoacyl-tRNA synthetases). tRNAs cope with the degeneracy of the genetic code in two manners: having more than one tRNA (with a specific anti-codon) for a particular amino acid; and 'wobble' base-pairing, i.e. permitting non-standard base-pairing at the 3rd anti-codon position. RNAcentral also lists the same sequence under 1 other name. Lineage: Archaea; Nanobdellati; Candidatus Aenigmatarchaeota. The record is from RNAcentral.